Long non-coding RNA from Hemicordylus capensis (graceful crag lizard), 767 nucleotides. RefSeq lists it as uncharacterized. The transcript has 3 exons. NCBI's taxonomy places the organism in Eukaryota, Metazoa, Chordata, Lepidosauria, Squamata, Cordylidae. The record is from RefSeq and is a predicted model, not a curated record.
AGAAACUUGUUACUUCACCGAUCUUGCGCUGGGGCGGGGUUCAGUCACGUGCUGCUGGCGGGGGGAAGUCCUCGUCGUGAUCUUUACUAUCAAGGCGCAUGCGUGCAGCGUGUCCUUCUCACUCGCACGCGGCUGUCUGCUGUACGUGCGCGCGCUUUCAAUUGUGUCGCGGCAACCGCCGCUCUUCUUCUCCCGAGGUGUAGAAAAGGAAGGGGGCGGGGCUGAAAGGAGCGUUGUACGCCUGCGCCGAGGGGGAAGGAAAGGAAACAGGGGGACCUGCCCCACGAGGAGCUAUUUCGAUCCCCCAAAGGGGCACUAAAGGAAUCAUGGUAAAAUUUCUUGGCUCCCUGGCACCUGGGAUUUGUCAAGCCCCGGGAUAAUGACCUGGCCACCCAGUGAGCUUCACAGCUGAACAGAGACUUGAACCCAGAGCUUCCAGAAUGCAGGAGGAAUCUUAUGACUACUUCAGGAGUCACAAAAGCCAACAUGGCACAGUGGAAAGUGGUACAGGAAUUGUACUGUUUCUUUUCACAACUAGGACAUGACAUUUUAAAAUGUGCUCUUUGUGCUACCAUUUCAAAACUUGUUAGGCAAUGGAAAACAUUUUACUUGUUCUUUAAGUGCAAUAGGAUUUUCCUAUCUAAUCCCAUCUAUCUGUUUUUAUGUCUGUUGGGAUUAAAAAAAUGUUGCCCUAAUAAAUGUGUUCCAGUUUUCUUGUAGUUUGUUUUCAAGUUGUCCAAUUUCAUAUGUAAUUGAAUCCAAUAAAG